RNAcentral lists this ribosomal RNA (465 nucleotides) under uncultured eukaryote. Its description in RNAcentral is "SSU rRNA". It matches the Rfam family "Eukaryotic small subunit ribosomal RNA", at positions 619 to 1086 of the family's 1831-position model. The record is from RNAcentral.
UUAAAAAGCUCGUAGUUGGAUUUCUGGUACAAUGCGCCUGGCCCGCAAUUUGUGAGUGCCGGCGCGCGUUUGCCAUCCUUCUAGAAAACGUUUCUACCCGGGUAACUGGGCCGGACUCGCGAUCUAGAUCUUUUACUUUGAAAAAAUUAGAGUGUUUAAAGCAGGCUUUUGCUGUGAAUACAUUAGCAUGGAAUAAUAAUCUAGGACUUCGGUUCUAUUUUGUUGGUUUCUAGUACUGAAGUAAUGAUUGAUAGGGAUAGUUGGGGGUGCUAGUAUUGGCCGGUCAGAGGUGAAAUUCUUGGAUUCGGUCAAGACUAACUUAUGCGAAAGCAUUCACCAAGGAUGUCUUCUUUAAUCAAGAACGAAAGUUGGGGGAUCGAAGACGAUCAGAUACCGUCGUAGUCUCAACCAUAAACUAUGCCAACUAGGGAUGGGUGAACGUUUAAAUUAUGACAUCAUCUGCAC